UACGGAAGGGGCAAGCGUUGUCCGGAAUUAUUGGGCGUAAAGAGCUCGUAGGCGGUGUGUCGCGUCGGCCGUGAAAACUUGGGGCUUAACUCUGAGCGUGCGGUCGAUACGGGCAUCACUUGAGUUCGGCAGGGGAGACUGGAAUUCCUGGUGUAGCGGUGAAAUGCGCAGAUAUCAGGAGGAACACCGGUGGCGAAGGCGGGUCUCUGGGCCGAUACUGACGCUGAGGAGCGAAAGCAUGGGGAGCGAACAGG
This 254-nucleotide ribosomal RNA is filed under the name uncultured bacterium. RNAcentral describes it as "partial 16S ribosomal RNA". It matches the Rfam family "Bacterial small subunit ribosomal RNA", at positions 524 to 776 of the family's 1533-position model. The record is from RNAcentral.